UACGUAGGUGGCAAGCGUUGUCCGGAUUUAUUGGGUUUAAAGGGGGCGUAGGCGGCUUUGUACGUCAGUGGUGAAAUAUGGCAGCUCAACUGUCAGGGUGCCAUUGAUACUGCGGAGCUUGAGUACAGAUGAGGUAGGCGGAAUUGACGGUGUAGCGGUGAAAUGCUUAGAUAUCGUCAAGAACACCGAUAGCGAAGGCAGCUUACUAGGCUGUAACUGACGCUGAGGCACGAAAGUGUGGGGAUCAAACAGG
RNAcentral lists this ribosomal RNA (253 nucleotides) under uncultured bacterium. Its description in RNAcentral is "partial 16S ribosomal RNA". It matches the Rfam family "Bacterial small subunit ribosomal RNA", at positions 524 to 776 of the family's 1533-position model. The record is from RNAcentral.